This 498-nucleotide ribosomal RNA is filed under the name uncultured bacterium. RNAcentral's name for it is "partial 16S ribosomal RNA". It matches the Rfam family "Bacterial small subunit ribosomal RNA", at positions 30 to 523 of the family's 1533-position model. The record is from RNAcentral.
AUUGAACGCUGGCGGCAUGCCUUACACAUGCAAGUCGAACGGUAACAGGUCUUCGGAUGCUGACGAGUGGCGAACGGGUGAGUAAUACAUCGGAACGUGCCUAGUAGUGGGGGAUAACUACUCGAAAGAGUGGCUAAUACCGCAUGAGAUCUACGGAUGAAAGCAGGGGAUCGCAAGACCUUGUGCCACUAGAGCGGCCGAUGGCAGAUUAGGUAGUUGGUGGGAUAAAAGCUUACCAAGCCGACGAUCUGUAGCUGGUCUGAGAGGACGAUCAGCCACACUGGGACUGGGACACGGCCCAGACUCCUACGGGAGGCAGCAGUGGGGAAUUUUGGACAAUGGGCGCAAGCCUGAUCCAGCAAUGCCGCGUGCAGGAUGAAGGCCUUCGGGUUGUAAACUGCUUUUGUACGGAACGAAAAGCCCUGGGUUAAUACCCCGGGGUCAUGACGGUACCGUAAGAAUAAGCACCGGCUAACUACGUGCCAGCCGCCGCAGUAA